RNAcentral lists this ribosomal RNA (400 nucleotides) under uncultured soil bacterium. RNAcentral's name for it is "bacterial SSU rRNA". It matches the Rfam family "Bacterial small subunit ribosomal RNA", at positions 26 to 431 of the family's 1533-position model. The record is from RNAcentral.
AGAUUGAACGCUGGCGGCAUGCCUAACACAUGCAAGUCGAACGGGAGUAGCAAUACUCUAGUGGCGGACGGGUGAGGAAUACGUAGGAAUUUGCCCUUAAGUGGGGGAUAACCCGGGGAAACCCGGAUUAAUACCGCAUGACCUCGAAAGAGCAAAGUGGGGGAUCGCAAGACCUCACGCUUUUGGAGAAGCCUACGUCGGAUUAGCUAGUUGGUGAGGUAAUGGCUCACCAAGGCGACGAUCCGUAACUGGUCUGAGAGGAUGAUCAGUCACACCGGAACUGAGACACGGUCCGGACUCCUACGGGAGGCAGCGAGUGGGGAAUAUGGGACAAUGGGCGCAAGCCCUAGAUCCGAGUCAAUCGCCGCGUGUGUAGAAGAAGGCCUUGGGUUAGUAAAGG